This 253-nucleotide ribosomal RNA is filed under the name uncultured bacterium. RNAcentral's name for it is "partial 16S ribosomal RNA". It matches the Rfam family "Bacterial small subunit ribosomal RNA", at positions 524 to 776 of the family's 1533-position model. The record is from RNAcentral.
UACAGAGGGGGCAAGCGUUGUUCGGAAUUACUGGGCGUAAAGGGUUCGUAGGUGGCCUACUAAGUCAGACGUGAAAUCCCUCAGCUUAACUGGGGAACUGCGUCUGAUACUGGGAAGCUUGAGUAUGGGAGAGGAAGGUAGAAUUCCAGGUGUAGCGGUGAAAUGCGUAGAUAUCUGGAGGAAUACCGGUGGCGAAGGCGGCCUUCUGGACCAUAACUGACGCUGAUCCGCGAAAGCUAGGGGAGCAAACGGG